UACGAGGGCCUCAAGCGUUAUCCGGAAUCAUUGGGCGUAAAGGGUGUGUAGGCGGCUUUGUUAGUCUUCUGUCAAAUUCUUCGGCUUAACCGGGGGUCCGCAGGAGAAACGGCAAAGCUUGAGGAUGCGAGAGGUCUGUGGAACUCUAGGUGUAGGGGUGAAAUCCGUUGAUAUCUAGGGGAACACCAAAAGCGAAGGCAGCAGACUGGCGCACUCCUGACGCUGAAACACGAAAGCGUGGGUAGCGAAUGGG
This 253-nucleotide ribosomal RNA is filed under the name uncultured bacterium. RNAcentral describes it as "partial 16S ribosomal RNA". It matches the Rfam family "Bacterial small subunit ribosomal RNA", at positions 524 to 776 of the family's 1533-position model. The record is from RNAcentral.